Ornithodoros turicata is the source of this 351-nucleotide long non-coding RNA. RefSeq lists it as uncharacterized. The record is from RefSeq and is a predicted model, not a curated record. Lineage: Eukaryota; Metazoa; Arthropoda; Arachnida; Ixodida; Argasidae. The transcript is spliced from 3 exons.
UUCACUUAUCGUUCAAUCUGUGCAGGACUGUGCAGACGAAGGGAAGAAACUGCGUCACUUUAGGCCGUCAGUUCGUUCCAGACAGUCAUGCAUACCGCAUGCAACGAAUCAGGCAAUGAAGAUUAUAACACGUUACGGCGAAAGAACGGCGGUGGUGUCCUGCGAUGGCAACUCAACUGUACUCCGCCUGAGGGAAGAUGAACUAAUGUGCUAGCACCUUACAAUCUACGAUGACGACUUUGACAUCUGUGUGGAAACAGCACAAGCAGAUUAGGGAAGAAUGCAAUGCGCUCACAGGGACUGUCAUUGAAACUGCCUUGGACAGAGUUCUACAGGACAUUUCGGAAGCGG